CACUGAGUAUCUUCAGAACCCUGGGAACCAUCAGAAGUGACACCCUCUUCGAAUUGAAAG
Unclassified non-coding RNA from Cavia aperea (Brazilian guinea pig), 60 nucleotides. Lineage: Eukaryota; Metazoa; Chordata; Mammalia; Rodentia; Caviidae. The record is from Ensembl.